UCCUCUUGUAAACUGUGAAGCUGGGGCUCCGCCAGCCCUGGAAGUGGGCCUACUUAGCAGCUCUUCUUUUUCUCGUUUACAAACCACCUCACCACCAGCCUGGGGUUUUGGCAGCUGGUUCGUGGGCGUGAUGAGAAAAUCGAGGCUCCAAGAGAAUAAGGAAGGGCCCAAGGUCUCUUAAAUGGGAAAGCCCAGUCUGAAUGUCAGAGUCCCAGGCUCAAGGUCUUCACCAAAGCACAUACGGAGGGGCCACAGACAAUCCGUUUUACCCUGAGCGAGUCAUCUCACUUAUGAAAUGAACUAAGAAAACUGGAAAUGAACUAAGAUUUCUCUUACAAGUUGUUGUGAGCACCUGCUGAGUUGAGGUCUGGACUCUACUUACCUCUGAAAGGAAGACAAGAAGAAAACAUUCAGUAAUGAAACCAAGAAAGAAAGCUGUGCACACGUACAGUUAAUAGGUCGUUCAUUUGCGGCUGCACAGAACUAUCGCAAUAUGACUUAAAUGAGGGGUCAUUCAGAAAACCAACAGCAGAUUCGGGCGCACUGAAGGCAAGAGUUAAAAGGGGACUCAAGGACCAUCCAGUGGGACCUUAUGUUGUCAUGUUAUAGGCGUGUGGCUAAGGUCCAAAGAGUUGAAGUUAUCUCCGGGAGACGGUAGGCAAGCACAGCGUCACACUCCACCCCAGCAAUCUUUCAGAAACGUUUACCUUGAGCUCUGGAGGUGCCCAGAACCUCACCUGUGCAGUGGACAGGGAACUCCCUGCACAUCCAGCUCUGCCUGCUGUUCUGCAUGGCUGUCAGGGGCUUGGAAUGUGUCGGUCCUGCUGGUGUGUUAGUCUGCCAGUAAAUAAAGGGCCGCAAUCCAAUGGGACUUGAACUCUUCAGAAGGCUGCUGAGGAAGCAAAGUCUCCCAGGACCAGGAUUUUGCUGCGUGUGGCUCCAGGAUGGUCCAGGGAAGGAGGGGAGGAGGGCACUCACGUCUCUGAGACUUACGGAGAAAAGUCUUUAAAUUUGGGAAAGUAAAAUAUCUGGCUACAAUACUCACUCCUGGCUCCUAGCAGAUGUGUGUCCCUUAACUGGACCAAACACAAAAACAUUUGACUAUACAUUGAAGCCCUCUUUGCUCAGAGUGCUGGAAAGCAAGAUAUCUUUUCUUUUAUAGCUAUCGUUUUAAUGGAAUUUAAAGAACAAAAUAAACAAAUAAAACAGAAAAGACUCACAGCCCUAGCCAGUUUGGCUCAGUGGAUAGAGCAUCGGACUGUGGACCAAAGGUCCCGUGUUCGAUUCAGGUCAAAAGCAUACACCUCGGUUGCAGGCUUCUCUGUGGCCCAGGCCCUGGUCAGGACGCUUGCAGGAGGCAACCAAUCAAUGUGGUUCUCUCACAUCGAUAUUUCUGUCUAUCCCUGUCUCUUCCAUUCUCUCUAAAAACCAAUGGGAAAAUAUUCUCUGGUGAGGAUUAAGAAAAAAUAAAUAAAAAAGACUCACAGGUAUAGAGAACAAACAGGGUUGCCAGAUUGGAGGAGGGUUGGGGGUCUGGAUGAAAAAAGUGAAGGGAUUAAGACAUACAAAUUGAUAGUUACAAUAUAGUCAUGGGGAUGUAAAGUACAGCAUAGGGAAUAUCGUCAAUAAUGUAAUAGCUUGAUAUGGUGUCAGGUGGAUAUUAGAAAAAUUAGGGGGAAUAUUUCAUAAAUUAUAUAAAUGUUUAGCCACAAUGCUAUACACCUGAAACUAAAGUAAAAUAAUGUUAAAAGUCAACUGCAAUUGAAAAAUAAAUAAAUAAAAAUAAUAUGGAAGAGAAAGAAGAAAGAAACACGCUCUCAGA
This is a long non-coding RNA of Myotis daubentonii (Daubenton's bat), 1822 nucleotides long. RefSeq lists it as uncharacterized. Lineage: Eukaryota; Metazoa; Chordata; Mammalia; Chiroptera; Vespertilionidae. The record is from RefSeq and is a predicted model, not a curated record.